This 79-nucleotide transfer RNA is filed under the name Erinaceus europaeus (western European hedgehog). It matches the Rfam family "tRNA". From Rfam's summary of the family: Transfer RNA (tRNA) molecules are approximately 80 nucleotides in length. Their secondary structure includes four short double-helical elements and three loops (D, anti-codon, and T loops). Lineage: Eukaryota; Metazoa; Chordata; Mammalia; Eulipotyphla; Erinaceidae. The record is from Rfam by way of RNAcentral.
GGGAGUUAGUUUAGUGUUAAAGCAUAGGAUUUGUAUGUCUGAGGCUACACAAAUGUAGGUUCAAUCCCUACCACUGCCA